This 446-nucleotide long non-coding RNA is filed under the name Setaria viridis. RNAcentral describes it as "long non-coding RNA (SVIR_LNC007305)". The record is from RNAcentral. Lineage: Eukaryota; Viridiplantae; Streptophyta; Magnoliopsida; Poales; Poaceae.
AGGGAGGGAGUGAGGGACCGUCAGUGGAAGGCCUUGUUGAGUUGUUCCUUGUGGGACGAAAAUCAAGAGCCUGAUUGGUUCGGUUCUGCUUCGUGCCAAGCUAAAAUUAGGACAUGCCAAAAUUAAGGCUCACCAAAAUCAGGGUAUGCUAAAGUUAGAGCAAAAAAUUUUGGUAUUUAUUUGAUUUGGUGGCAAUGUAUGGCAACCAAUACUCUCCACCCUUUUAAGUUUUAGAAGUCUAAUGAUUUGUCUUAGUUUUGGCUAUAAACAUUGACAUAUCAAUUUUUGGUAAUGAACCAAUUGAUAGACAAAGUUUUUAGGGCAUGCCAAGAUUUUGAUUCGGCAAAAAUUGAAAUCCAACACCCUAAUUGACUGAUUAUAUUUACUGGAGCAAUUUUUUUUAUGAGAAAACUGGAGCAUGUAGAGGCGGCCAUUGGAAACGUUCC